Molecule: non-coding RNA, 447 nt
Organism: Paramuricea clavata
Lineage: Eukaryota; Metazoa; Cnidaria; Anthozoa; Malacalcyonacea; Plexauridae
Source: the annotation of a GenBank genome assembly
GCCCAAUGCUUUAAUGAUUUUUCUUUUUUGAAUUUAAAAUUUAUUUGAUGCUUUGUUCUUGCUUUUAGUUUCCAUCUUUUCAUUUCAUCGUUUGUUUCUGUUUGUAUUUUUAGUUUCAAGUCUUGUCUGAUAUAUCUAUGUCCAACCUGCAUGUGUACCAGGAUCACCACCGAACAAGAACAAAUUGGUAAUUAUAUAUUUCUAUAUACAUAUAUGAUUAUCAGAAUAAAUAUAAUAAUAUAUAAUAAUAUUCAUAUAUACAUAUGAUUAUAUAUAUUUUGUCAGUUAUACCAUCUCAACCAAUACAUUUCUAACAGUCCUCUUUUCUACAGCAAUGAUUGGGUUAAGAAAAUUUCAUUCUGUCAAGUUUGUGUUGCUGUUACAAACAAUGUUGCCCAACCAUAUCCCAAUGUUGUUGGCGAUGUAAAAAAAUAUAGUGAAGGAACG